This 22-nucleotide non-coding RNA is filed under the name Chlamydomonas reinhardtii. The record is from RNAcentral. Lineage: Eukaryota; Viridiplantae; Chlorophyta; Chlorophyceae; Chlamydomonadales; Chlamydomonadaceae. RNAcentral also lists the same sequence under 44 other names.
UACCUGGUUGAUCCUGCCAGUA